GAUGAACGCUGGCGGCGUGCCUAAUACAUGCAAGUCGAGCGAACAGACGAGGAGCUUGCUCCUCUGACGUUAGCGGCGGACGGGUGAGUAACACGUGGAUAACCUACCUAUAAGACUGGGAUAACUUCGGGAAACCGGAGCUAAUACCGGAUAAUAUAUUGAACCGCAUGGUUCAAUAGUGAAAGACGGUUUUGCUGUCACUUAUAGAUGGAUCCGCGCCGCAUUAGCUAGUUGGUAAGGUAACGGCUUACCAAGGCAACGAUGCGUAGCCGCCCUGAGAGGGUGAUCGGCCACACUGGAACUGAGACACGGUCCAGACUCCUACGGGAGGCAGCAGUAGGGAAUCUUCCGCGAUGGACGAAAGCCUGACGGAGCAACGCCGCGUGAGUGAUGAAGGUCUUCGGAUCGUAGAACUCUGUUAUUAGGGAAGAACAAAUGUGUAAGUAACUAUGCACGUCUUGACGGUACCUAAUCAGAAAGCCACGGCUAACUACGUG
This 497-nucleotide ribosomal RNA is filed under the name uncultured bacterium. Its description in RNAcentral is "partial 16S ribosomal RNA". It matches the Rfam family "Bacterial small subunit ribosomal RNA", at positions 28 to 507 of the family's 1533-position model. The record is from RNAcentral.